AACGAACGCUGGCGGCAUGCCUAACACAUGCAAGUCGAACGAAACCUUCGGGUCUAGUGGCGCACGGGUGCGUAACGCGUGGGAACCUGCCCUUAGGUUCGGAAUAACUCCCCGAAAGGGGUGCUAAUACCGGAUAAUGUCUUCGGACCAAAGAUUUAUCGCCUUUGGAUGGGCCCGGGUUGGAUUAGCUAGUUGGUAGGGUAAAAGCCUACCAAGGCGACGAUCCAUAGCUGGUCUGAGAGGAUGAUCAGCCACACUGGGACUGAGACACGGCCCAGACUCCUACGGGAAGCAGCAGUGGGGAAUAUUGGACAAUGGGCGAAAGCCUGAUCCAGCAAUGCCGCGUGAGUGAUGAAGGCCUUAGGGUUGUAAAGCUCUUUUACCCGGGAUGAUAAUGACAGUACCGGGAGAAUAAGCGCCGGCUAACUCCGUG
Molecule: ribosomal RNA, 433 nt
Filed under: uncultured bacterium
Lineage: Bacteria
Description: partial 16S ribosomal RNA
Rfam family: Bacterial small subunit ribosomal RNA
Source: RNAcentral